RNAcentral lists this ribosomal RNA (582 nucleotides) under uncultured bacterium. Its description in RNAcentral is "bacterial SSU rRNA". It matches the Rfam family "Bacterial small subunit ribosomal RNA", at positions 338 to 916 of the family's 1533-position model. The record is from RNAcentral.
CCUACGGGAGGCAGCAGUAAGGAAUAUUGGUCAAUGGGCGCAAGCCUGAACCAGCCAUGCCGCGUGCAGGAAGACGGCCCUAUGGGUUGUAAACUGCUUUUGAACAAGAGAAAACCUCGGUACGUGUACCGAGCUGAUAGUAUUGUUAGAAUAAGCAUCGGCUAACUUCGUGCCAGCAGCCGCGGUAAGACGAAGGAUGCAAGCGUUAUCCGGAUUCAUUGGGUUUAAAGGGUGCGUAGGCGGCCUGAUAAGUCAGUGGUGAAAUCUCUCAGCUUAACUGAGAAACUGCCAUUGAUACUGUCGGGCUUGAGUACAGAUGAUGUGGGCGGAAUAUGACAUGUAGUGGUGAAAUACUUAGAUAUGUCAUAGAACACCGAUUGCGAAGGCAGCUCACAAAACUGUAAACUGACGCUGAGGCACGAAAGUGCGGGGGAUCAAACAGGAUUAGAUACCCUGGUAGUCCGCACCGUAAACGAUGAUUACUCGUUGUUGGCAAUAUGACCGUCAGCGACCAAGCGAAAGCGAUAAGUAAUCCACCUGGGGAGUACGCCGGCAACCGGUGAAACUCAAAUGAAUUGACGG